UAAAAAAUUAAAAGAAUGGCUACUAAGUAAAUGUUUCUACACGUUAAAAGAAUUCUUUGAUCUCAACUCUAGAUAAAUAAAUAAAUAUACCUAAGCAAUUGUCUGUAAUAUUGUUAUUUUGAUAAUUUAGAUUUUAAUAUUGUAUGUACCUAUAAUGUUGCAAUGCCCUUACAGGGCCAUGUUUCGGGACUCUGUAUUAAUAUUUAAGAUCCAAAUGUACCAACAUGAUGCAAUAAACAUAUAUGACUAUGA
Molecule: long non-coding RNA, 252 nt
Organism: Ostrinia nubilalis (European corn borer)
Lineage: Eukaryota; Metazoa; Arthropoda; Insecta; Lepidoptera; Crambidae
Exons: 2
Source: RefSeq, a predicted model, not a curated record